Molecule: transfer RNA, 73 nt
Filed under: Perkinsus marinus ATCC 50983
Lineage: Eukaryota; Perkinsozoa; Perkinsida; Perkinsidae
Rfam family: tRNA
About the family: Transfer RNA (tRNA) molecules are approximately 80 nucleotides in length.
Source: Rfam by way of RNAcentral
UCCGAUAUAGUCUAGUUGGUUAGGAUACCUGGCUCUCAUCCAGGUGACUCAAGUUCGAGUCCCAAUGUCGACA